AAGUCGUAACAAGGUUUCCGUAGGUGAACCUGCGGAAGGAUCAUUAUUGAAAAUCGUCAGGAAGAUUGGUUCUGUUGCUGGGCUUUCAUCGGCCAUGUGCACGUCUGGUCUUCCUUGACUACUUCAUCCUUAAACACCUGUGCACCUGUAUUCGAGGGAUCGCUGGAAACAGAAGUCCCUUGGAUUCUUUAACAAACUCCUUAUUUUAAUCAAAGAAAGUUCAUUCUGCCGAAAGGCGAAAUCAUAAUACAACUUUUAACAACGGAUCUCUUGGCUCUC
This 279-nucleotide unclassified non-coding RNA is filed under the name air metagenome. RNAcentral describes it as "partial contains small subunit ribosomal RNA, internal transcribed spacer 1, and 5.8S ribosomal RNA". The stretch from base 1 to 46 matches the Rfam family "Eukaryotic small subunit ribosomal RNA", at positions 1786 to 1831 of the family's 1831-position model. The record is from RNAcentral.